AGUUCGUGGAGUGAUCUGUCUGCUUAAUUGCGUUUCACUAUAUAAAGGCCUGCCAUUUUUCACUUGUUCCUACUGUGUCUUUUUAGGCAUGUAGACAGUGUUUAUAAUGGUGCUGUGCCUUGAAGGCAACGAACGUGACCGCAGCCUCUUGUUGCCUCUCUGUCAUUAAUUUGACACUUUUAAUUUCUUUGCUCUCAUUUCUAUGUUCUGUAGUGUAGCUUAUUCCUUUUUUAAGGGUAGGAUGCAUUGCAAGCUGGGGUGGGACGGUGUUAAAAGAAAGAGGCUAACUAGAGGGACCGCUAGUGCUUCCAAAACAGAGGAAGGUUGCGGCAAUAACAGGU
Molecule: ribosomal RNA, 341 nt
Filed under: Foraminifera sp.
Lineage: Eukaryota; Foraminifera
Description: SSU rRNA
Source: RNAcentral